This 253-nucleotide ribosomal RNA is filed under the name uncultured bacterium. RNAcentral's name for it is "partial 16S ribosomal RNA". It matches the Rfam family "Bacterial small subunit ribosomal RNA", at positions 524 to 776 of the family's 1533-position model. The record is from RNAcentral.
UACGAAGGGGGCUAGCGUUGCUCGGAAUCACUGGGCGUAAAGGGCGCGUAGGCGGUGCGGUAAGUCACUUGUGAAAUCUCUGAGCUUAACUCAGAACGGCCAAGUGAUACUGCAGUGCUAGAGUGCGGAAGGGGCAAUCGGAAUUCUUGGUGUAGCGGUGAAAUGCGUAGAUAUCAAGAGGAACACCUGAGGUGAAGACGGGUUGCUGGGCCGACACUGACGCUGGAGCGCGAAAGCCAGGGGAGCAAACGGG